AGUACUCAUUUCUCAAUGAGUACUUUGAUAUUCUUACCCAGAAUAUCUGGCAACACUGUUGUGUUACCACAAACCCAAUUUGAGUAUUCUCGCCUAACCAUAUGAUGAUGUAAACAUUUGUACCGCGUUUAUCAUCAUCACUUGUCAUCAGCAAUCAUUGAUCCAUUGUUCUCGAUUGCGAAUUGAACAACAAGAAAGAGGAACCAAAACAAACAAUGGUUUUGGUUCUGCUCGCAGCAGAAAUCAGUUGCUGCUGUAAACCUAAAGGUCGUCAGAAGGAAAACAGAACUGUAAGAAGCGAGCAAAAACUUCCGGAGCAGGAUGAUAUUAUCAAAAAUUAAACUGGUAUGGUCUUCCCAGACGGCCAUUGAAAUCUGAUGGAAGAAAAUCGGAUGAUAAAUUCUCUGUGUGAUAAAUAUCAAUACGCAAAUGGGCUCAGUCGCUGUCUAAAUGUUGACUCCCGACGUAAAUCAUUUUCCGAAGGAACACUAAAUUACGAAGAAAGUUAACGAAAAAAGAUUUGAAGAUUGGUUAGAAAACUCUGACCCGGAAAUGCUCCAGCCAUGGAAGAGCAGCUUUCGGGCUCAGACGGAUUCCGUUACUUCUCUGGGUAAUCAGAAUUCGAGCCACAAUUUGUACAUCUACCCGGGCUGGCCACUUCAACCGGAUAAGUAAAUGCGAUUCCGAUGUGCACUAUAAAAUAACCGAGGAAAUACGAGUAAUUAUCCCGGGCUUCCGUAAAACGCCAGAUUCUUACUUUUGUUUGUGGUUCUAUAUCUACAUGCCAUUAGAAAACUUAGGUGUGCUUGAGUGUUCAGCAAAGAGAAAGGCACUGGAUAACAUUUUCUCUACCAGUGGGUCUGGAAAUAGUCCGAAAUUACGGUGACGUCGGUCAGAAACUGAUGCUGAGGCCUCGUCCCCUAACCUUCCAGUAUAGUUCGAACAUUAGCUGGUAGGCGCUUAGUGGUCACAUUUGGGGCACCUUCCGAAUGAAACGCAAGAAUGAGCAUGCGUUCAAUUUCCUCAAUUUUAUUUUUUCUUCUCAUAAUAGUGAA
Long non-coding RNA from Uranotaenia lowii, 1055 nucleotides. RefSeq lists it as uncharacterized. Lineage: Eukaryota; Metazoa; Arthropoda; Insecta; Diptera; Culicidae. The record is from RefSeq and is a predicted model, not a curated record. The transcript has 4 exons.